Molecule: long non-coding RNA, 3561 nt
Organism: Gorilla gorilla gorilla (western lowland gorilla)
Lineage: Eukaryota; Metazoa; Chordata; Mammalia; Primates; Hominidae
Exons: 3
Source: RefSeq, a predicted model, not a curated record
UGUUUCUGUUCUUAACCUGCUUGAGCCUUGGUUUCCAAAUCUCUAAAAUACGGAUAAUGCUACUUUCAUAGGAUCGUAGUGAAAAUUAAAGAGUAGCUGUUGUUGCCAUUACUGAUCUAGAGACUAUGUGGCAGGAAAUUAUGCAUACAAUCUCUGACAUUAGACUGCCUGGGUUCAAAUCCUAGCUCUGCUUGUAAACUCUAUGACUUUGGGCAAGUUACCUAAAAUAGAGAUGAUAAGAAGAGUACCUACAUCUUAGGACUACUGUGAAGGUUAAGGUUAAUAAACGUGAGGUGUUUGGUAAGUACAAUGCCAUUGUCCAAGUCAGAGGUAUAAUUAGGAUAUUGCCAGUGGGAAUGGAAAGGAGCAAUUAAAUUCAAGCAACAUUGUUGAGAUAAAAUAUGAUGACAAUUGUUCAUGUGUGAAAGAUAAAGGAGGAUUAAAAUAACAGGGUGAUUAUCUUCGAAAUGACUGAGAGAGUGGUGUCGUUAACAAGAACAGACUCAGCAGGAGCACAGGCAGGCCUUGGAGGACAAUUCAUGAGUUUGUUUGGGGGUUAAUAUCGAGUGUACUUACAAGAUAUCCAUGUAGAGCUACUUGGCAAGUGGUCAGGAUUGCAGGACUAGAACUGAAGGACAAGGCAAAGGCUGGAUACCUAGGACCAAGGUGUUUAUGUAGUAACAUCAGUGGUUGAAAUUAUGACCUUAACUAAGACCAUCAAGAAGAGAAUAAAGAAAAAAAAGUUAUGGCAGAAGAUAGAAAUUUUGGGAAGUUUAGAAAAGUCUCCUUUAUAUCUUGUUUUUAAUGUAUACAGUGUUAUUUUUCCAGCUUAUUUCAACAACGCCUGGGUGGCUGGGAACAAUGGCUCAUGCCUGUAAUCCCUGCCAUUUGGGAGGCUGAGGCCAGAGGAUUGCUUGAGGCCAGGAGUUCAAGACCAGCCUGGACAACACAGUGAGAUCCCAUCUCUACAAAAAUGUUUUAAAAAAUUAGCCAGGUUUUGUAGUGCACACCUAUAGUCCCAGCUAUCUGGGAGACUGAGGAGAGAUGAUCGCUUGAGCCCAGGAAGUUAGGACUAGAGUAAGCUGUGAUAUUGCCACUGCACUCCAACCUGGGUGACAGAACAAGAAUGGGGAGCUAAUUUUUAGGAACUUUUCAAGUUAUAAAAGUAACUCUCAUUUACUGUAAACAGUUCAUAAAUAUAGGAUAAUGCAAGAGGAGGAAUAAUAAUGAUUCCAAGCCCCACUAUGAACAUUUAGAUGUAUUUCCUUCCAAAUAACUGUACUUUUUUCUUGCUCAAUAGGAAUUAUACUAUUUAAAUAGCUUGUAUUCUAUUUUUUUUUCACUUAGAAAUAGUAUGAUUCUCCCAUGAGAAUUUUCUCCUGUCUUUAAAGAUUUUAAAGGAGUGAGGAAGCAGGAUAUUUCCCUGACCCCAUUGUGGGACUCGAGACAGGGGUGCCUUGUUUACUCAGCCCGCUGCUCUCAACUCCUCGCAGGAGGAAGCACGCAAGCAAACGAGGUGGGAACUGGAGUGCAUGAGUGCUGGAACCAGCUGACCAAUUCAGUGCCAGCAGGAUCAAACUUCACUCACUCUGACCUGCCUCAUUGCACCCCUUGUGGAAGGGAGCACACAGGAUUUCUCUCACCCCUGUCCCUACCGGUAUCAUGAUGAAUGGUUGCAUAGUGCCCACACACACAUUUCUUAAGACUGAGAAUCAAACAUGUGAUCAAAGAAAACAGAAGAAGAUGGAAUUAAAACUUUGUUGGUUUCUGAUAAUAAAACACACAGGCCAAACUAUGGGAGGAGAUGCAAAUUCCCCUUGAAUUCUGCUUCACCUGCCUGACAAGAUAAAUCUCUCAGCUAGCACAUGUGAUGUGUUUUCCAAAUUAUUUCUCUUUAGUAGAUGCUACAAAAUUGCUCUGACAGCACGGAAGACUGGCUUGUCAAAAGAAGAGGAGAGAAAAUUAUAAUCAAAAUGAAUUCAGAAUCCAAGGAAAUUAUAUUUCUCCAUCUCUCUUUAUCAAUGUUGUAUGGGAUUCAUGUAGCUCAUUUGGUGCAGAAGGGAAGAUGACUGUUUCAAAGAAUGGGACACACCAGUGUUUUUGACUGAAGCAUGAAUUUUCUUCACAACCAAGGAAUGUUUAAUGGAUAGUAAUGUUUUCUCUAUUGAAAUUCCAAUAAAAAUACAAGAAUUUAGAAGAACAUACAAAACAAAAGGAAAUAAAAAACUUCAGAAGAAAAAGCCUUACUUCAAAAGGGACAUUAACAUUUCCUUGUAUUCCUGCCUUUUGCUAUGAGAAGAAUGUUCCUUUAUUAACUGCUGGUCCAAGGAAGAUGAGUGACUCAUGUAGCAGACCUGGUCCCAACCUGCAGUGUGAGGCAAGUCUAACCAAUCCACAGGUGCAGAGUGGGAAAUAAAUGCUUAUUGUUGAAUAACAUUGGGAUUUUGUGCUUGUUUGUUAUGCAGUGUUAUUGUGGCAGUGGCCCCUUUAAUGCAGCGUGUAUUUACCAGUAUUGUUUUAAACUCUUUUUACACAUUAGGUCAUUUAAUCCUCAGAACAACCCUAUGUGGUAAGUACUAGUAUCAUCUCUACAAUGCAGAAAGCUGAGACACAGAAGGUAAUGAACUUGUCUGACGCUCCAUAACAGUAAGUGGUGGAGCAUUGGAAGGCAAGCUGCAGGCCCAGGGCCGGGGUGCUUGUGUGCUGGCCCCCAUCACACACUGCUCAUGCUUCCAUUCCCUCUCAAAAUUCUUACUCACCCGGAGUUCACUUCCCCCAAGUUAACAAGUGCUAAGUUUACCUUCUUUCUCUAAUCCUUUACAUAGUGAUCUACUUAUUUGUUCAUAUACCUUCUAGAAAAUUUGAAGAACAAUGGAGUCAUAUGAAAUGUCAUUUUAUAGGUUAAAACAGUCAAAUAUCACCAGCCUCAUUUGAUUCAAUCUACCCUGCCACACAUUUUUUAAGUAAUAUCUAAAUUUUUUCAUUCUAGGUUAAAUUGUUAUAAAGAUGGUAACUUCAAGAAUAUUGAAAAUUCUGAAUUUUCAAAUAAAAAUCCAUCAUACUGUUAAUGUAUCCAAUGGAACCUAAUACCACAGUUUUUUAAAUUGAGGUACAAUUCACAUAACAUAAAAUUCACCAUUUUAAAGUGUAUGGUUCAGUGGCUUUUAGUACAUUUACAACAUUGUGGAACCAUCACCUCUAUCUAGCUCCAAAACAUUUUCAUCAUCAUCCCAGAAGAAACCCCGUAUCUAUUAAGCAGUCAUUCUCCAUUCCCUUCAUCUCCCAUCCCUUGGCAACUACUAAUCUGCUUUCUGUCUCUGUGGAUUUGCCUAUUCUAGACAUUUCAUAUAAAUGGAAUCAUAUAACAUGUGGGUUUUUGUGACUGGUUUCUUUCACUUAGCAUAAUGUUUUUGAGGUUCAUUCAUGCUAUAGUACCUAUCGAUACUUCAUUUCCUUUAAUGGCUGAAUAACAUUCCUGGUAUAGUUACAGCAAAUUUUGUUUGUCCAUUCAUCAGUUGAUGGGUUGUUUCCACUUUUAUUUAUUAUUAAUAAUGCUGCUAU